GAUGAAGAACGUAGCGAAAUGCGAUAAGUAAUGUGAAUUGCAGAAUUCAGUGAAUCAUCGAAUCUUUGAACGCACAUUGCGCCCCCUGGUAUUCCGGGGGGCAUGCCUGUCCGAGCGUCAUUACUGCCCUCAAGCGCGGCUUGUGUGUUGGGCCCUCGUCCCCCCCGGGGGACGUGCCCGAAAGGCAGUGGCGGCGCCGUGCCCGGACCUCGAGCGUAUGGGGCUUUGUCACCCGCUCUGGAGACCCGGCCGGCGGCCGUCGGACCACCCCAACCUUUUUAACCGGUUGACCUCGGAUCAGGCAGGGAUACCCGCUGAACUUAAGCAUAUCAAUAAGCGGAGGA
RNAcentral lists this unclassified non-coding RNA (344 nucleotides) under soil metagenome. RNAcentral's name for it is "partial contains 5.8S ribosomal RNA, internal transcribed spacer 2, and large subunit ribosomal RNA". The stretch from base 1 to 120 matches the Rfam family "5.8S ribosomal RNA", at positions 35 to 154 of the family's 154-position model. The record is from RNAcentral.